GUCACUUUGCCGGAGUGGUUAACGGGAUCGCCUGCUAUUUAGCAUUCUAGCGGUUGGGCUUUGCCCGCGUGUGUUCGAAUCGCACAGGUGACG
RNAcentral lists this transfer RNA (93 nucleotides) under Heliocybe sulcata. RNAcentral's name for it is "tRNA-Ser". It matches the Rfam family "tRNA". From Rfam's summary of the family: Transfer RNA (tRNA) molecules are approximately 80 nucleotides in length. Lineage: Eukaryota; Fungi; Basidiomycota; Agaricomycetes; Gloeophyllales; Gloeophyllaceae. The record is from RNAcentral.